GACGAACGCUGGCGGCGUGCUCAACACAUGCAAGUCGAACGGAAAGGCCCUGCUUUUGUGGGGUGCUCGAGUGGCGAACGGGUGAGUAACACGUGAGUAACCUGCCCUUGACUUUGGGAUAACUUCAGGAAACUGGGGCUAAUACCGGAUAGGAGCUCCUGCUGCAUGGUGGGGGUUGGAAAGUUUCGGCGGUUGGGGAUGGACUCGCGGCGUAUCAGCUUGUUGGUGGGGUAGUGGCUUACCAAGGCUUUGACGGGUAGCCGGCCUGAGAGGGUGACCGGCCACAUUGGGACUGAGAUACGGCCCAGACUCCUACGGGAGGCAGCAGUGGGGAAUAUUGCACAAUGGGCGGAAGCCUGAUGCAGCAACGCCGCGUGCGGGAUGACGGCCUUCGGGUUGUAAACCGCUUUCGCCUGUGACGAAGCGUGAGUGACGGUAAUGGGUAAAGAAGCACCGGCUAACUACGUG
RNAcentral lists this ribosomal RNA (468 nucleotides) under uncultured bacterium. RNAcentral describes it as "partial 16S ribosomal RNA". It matches the Rfam family "Bacterial small subunit ribosomal RNA", at positions 28 to 507 of the family's 1533-position model. The record is from RNAcentral.